RNAcentral lists this ribosomal RNA (484 nucleotides) under uncultured bacterium. Its description in RNAcentral is "bacterial SSU rRNA". It matches the Rfam family "Bacterial small subunit ribosomal RNA", at positions 8 to 489 of the family's 1533-position model. The record is from RNAcentral.
AGAGUUUGAUCCUGGCUCAGAUUGAACGCUGGCGGCAUGCUUUACACAUGCAAGUCGAACGGUAACAGGUCUUCGGAUGCUGACGAGUGGCGAACGGGUGAGUAAUGCAUCGGAACGUGCCCAGUCGUGGGGGAUAACGCAGCGAAAGCUGUGCUAAUACCGCAUACGAUCUAUGGAUGAAAGCGGGGGAUCGCAAGACCUCGCGCGAUUGGAGCGGCCGAUGUCAGAUUAGCUAGUUGGUGGGGUAAAGGCCCACCAAGGCGACGAUCUGUAGCUGGUCUGAGAGGACGACCAGCCACACUGGGACUGAGACACGGCCCAGACUCCUACGGGAGGCAGCAGUGGGGAAUUUUGGACAAUGGGCGAAAGCCUGAUCCAGCCAUGCCGCGUGAGUGAAGAAGGCCUUCGGGUUGUAAACUGCUUUUGUACGGAACGAAAAGGUCUGGGUUAAUACCCUGGGCUCAUGACGGUACCGUAAGAAUAA